CCUACGUGAGGCUGCAGUGGGGAAUAUUGCGCAAUGGGCGAAAGCCUGACGCAGCGACGCCGCGUGAGGGAUGAAGGUCUUCGGAUCGUAAACCUCUGUCAGCAGGGAAGAACGGUCACUGUGCUAAUCAGCAGUGAAUUGACGGUACCUGCAAAGGAAGCACCGGCUAACUCCGUGCCAGCAGCCGCGGUAAUACGGAGGGUGCGAGCGUUAAUCGGAAUUACUGGGCGUAAAGCGCUCGUAGGCGGUAUGUCAAGUAAAGGGUGAAAUCCCCGCGCUCAACGUGGGAACUGCCUUUGAAACUGGCAAACUGGAGUGUGUGAGAGGAUAGUGGAAUUCCAGGUGUAGGAGUGAAAUCCGUAGAUAUCUGGAGGAACAUCAGUGGCGAAGGCGACUAUCUGGCACAUAACUGACGCUGAAGCACGAAAGCGUGGGUAUCGAACAGGAUUAGAUACCCUGGUAGUC
RNAcentral lists this ribosomal RNA (465 nucleotides) under uncultured bacterium. RNAcentral's name for it is "partial 16S ribosomal RNA". It matches the Rfam family "Bacterial small subunit ribosomal RNA", at positions 338 to 795 of the family's 1533-position model. The record is from RNAcentral.